GCGGCGUGCUUAACACAUGCAAGUCGAACGGAAAGGCCCUGCUUUUGUGGGGUGCUCGAGUGGCGAACGGGUGAGUAACACGUGAGUAACCUGCCCUUGACUUUGGGAUAACUUCAGGAAACUGGGGCUAAUACCGGAUAGGAGCUCCUGCUGCAUGGUGGGGGUUGGAAAGUUUCGGCGGUUGGGGAUGGACUCGCGGCUUAUCAGCUUGUUGGUGGGGUAGUGGCUUACCAAGGCUUUGACGGGUAGCCGGCCUGAGAGGGUGACCGGCCACAUUGGGACUGAGAUACGGCCCAGACUCCUACGGGAGGCAGCAGUGGGGAAUAUUGCACAAUGGGCGGAAGCCUGAUGCAGCAACGCCGCGUGCGGGAUGACGGCCUUCGGGUUGUAAACCGCUUUCGCCUGUGACGAAGCGUGAGUGACGAUAAUGGGUAAAGAAGCACCGGCUAACUACGUGCCAGCAGCCGCGGUGAUACGUAGGGUGCGAGCGUUGUCCGGAUUUAUUGGGCGUAAAGGGCUCGUAGGUGGUUGAUCGCGUCGGAAGUGUAAUCUUGGGGCUUAACCCUGAGCGUGCUUUCGAUACGGGUUGACUUGAGGAAGGUAGGGGAGAAUGGAAUUCCUGGUGGAGCGGUGGAAUGCGCAGAUAUCAGGAGGAACACCAGUGGCGAAGGCGGUUCUCUGGGCCUUUCCUGGCGCUGAGGAGCGAAAGCGUGGGGAGCGAACAGGCUUAGAUACCCUGGUAGUCCACGCUGUAAACGGUGGGUACUAGGUGUGGGGUCCAUUCCACGGGUUCCGUGCCGUAGCUAACGCUUUAAGUACCCCGCCUGGGGGAGUACGGCCGCAAGGCUAAAACUCAAAGGAAUUGACGGGGCCCCGCACAAGCGGCGGAGCAUGCGGAUUAAUUCGAUGCAACGCGUAGAACCUUACCUGGGUUUGACAUGGAUCGGGAGUGCUCAGAGAUGGGUGUGCCUCUUUUGGGGUCGGUUCACAGGUGGUGCAUGGCUGUCGUCAGCUCGUGUCGUGAGAUGUUGGGUUAAGUCCCGCAACGAGCGCAACCCUUGUUCACUGUUGCCAGCACGUUAUGGUGGGGACUCAGUGGAGACCGCCGGGGUCAACUCGGAGGAAGGUGGGGAUGACGUCAAGUCAUCAUGCCCCUUAUGUCCAGGGCUUCACGCAUGCUACAAUGGCUGGUACAGAGAGUGGCGAGCCUGUGAGGGUGAGCGAAUCUCGGAAAGCCGGUCUCAGUUCGGAUUGGGGUCUGCAACUCGACCUCAUGAAGUCGGAGUCGCUAGUAAUCGCAGAUCAGCAACGCUGCGGUGAAUACGUUCCCGGGGCUUGUACACACCGCCCGUCAAGUCAUGAAAGUUGGUAACACCCGAAGCCGGUGGCCUAACCGAGGUGGGGGAGCCGUCGAAGGUGGGACUGGUG
RNAcentral lists this ribosomal RNA (1428 nucleotides) under uncultured organism. Its description in RNAcentral is "16S ribosomal RNA". It matches the Rfam family "Bacterial small subunit ribosomal RNA". The record is from RNAcentral.